This 98-nucleotide transfer RNA is filed under the name Octopus vulgaris (common octopus). It matches the Rfam family "tRNA". Rfam says of the family: Transfer RNA (tRNA) molecules are approximately 80 nucleotides in length. Their secondary structure includes four short double-helical elements and three loops (D, anti-codon, and T loops). The record is from Rfam by way of RNAcentral. Lineage: Eukaryota; Metazoa; Mollusca; Cephalopoda; Octopoda; Octopodidae.
GCCUCCGUGGCCUAAUGGAUAAGGCACCGGCCUCCUAAUAUAUCCUCAUGGUGGUAGAAGUAAGCCGGGGAUUGCGGGUUCGAGUCCCGUCGGAGGUG